ACGUCGUGAGACAGUUCGGUCCCUAUCCUCCGUGGGCGCAGGAGAAUCGAGGGAGGCUGCCCCUAGUACGAGAGGACCGGGGUGGACGGACCUCCGGUGAACCGGUUGUCGACCAACGGCAUGGCCGGGUAGCCGCGUCCGGCGCGGAUAACCGCUGAAGGCAUCUAAGCGGGAAGCCGUUCCCGAGAUCAGUUCUCCUUUCGGUAAGGGCCCAGGUAGACCACCUGGUUGAUAGGCCGCAGGUGCAAGGUCGGCGACGGCCUCAGCCGAGCGGCACUAAUCGCCCGAGCUCUUCUCAUC
Molecule: ribosomal RNA, 300 nt
Filed under: Candidatus Collinsella stercoripullorum
Lineage: Bacteria; Bacillati; Actinomycetota; Coriobacteriia; Coriobacteriales; Coriobacteriaceae
Description: partial 23S ribosomal RNA
Rfam family: Bacterial large subunit ribosomal RNA
Source: RNAcentral